This 21-nucleotide non-coding RNA is filed under the name Caenorhabditis elegans. Lineage: Eukaryota; Metazoa; Nematoda; Chromadorea; Rhabditida; Rhabditidae. The record is from RNAcentral.
UUUCUGAAACUGUUUCGAUAU